This 258-nucleotide ribosomal RNA is filed under the name Triticum aestivum (bread wheat). Its description in RNAcentral is "partial small subunit ribosomal RNA". The record is from RNAcentral. Lineage: Eukaryota; Viridiplantae; Streptophyta; Magnoliopsida; Poales; Poaceae.
AUGGUGACAACUGCUGGAGAAGCUGGAGCAUGUGAAGAGCCGACCGUGGAAGGCGGCGUCGUCGGACAUGUUGCGGUCGACGUCGACAGGUCGGCGGUGACGGCUGAUCGGCAGGGGCAGGUUGGAACCGGGAGCGGCUGCAGAAUUUGCCAGCUUGAGGACGGCGACCUGCCGGCGGAGAGCGGGAGCGGGCAGUUGGUAAACCUCGGCUGCGGCUGCCGAGGCGAGAUCGCGUCGGCGCACCGUGGUUCUCCGUGA